RNAcentral lists this unclassified non-coding RNA (343 nucleotides) under soil metagenome. RNAcentral describes it as "partial contains 5.8S ribosomal RNA, internal transcribed spacer 2, and large subunit ribosomal RNA". The stretch from base 1 to 120 matches the Rfam family "5.8S ribosomal RNA", at positions 35 to 154 of the family's 154-position model. The record is from RNAcentral.
GAUGAAGAACGCAGCGAAAUGCGAUAAGUAAUGUGAAUUGCAGAAUUCAGUGAAUCAUCGAAUCUUUGAACGCACAUUGCGCCCGCUAGUAUUCUGGCGGGCAUGCCUGUCCGAGCGUCAUUUCAACCCUCAAGCCCCCGGGCUUGGUGUUGGGGAUCGGCGAGCCUCCGCGCCCGCCGUCCCCUAAAUCUAGUGGCGGUCUCGCUGUAGCUUCCUCUGCGUAGUAGCACACCUCGCACUGGGAAACAGCGCGGCCACGCCGUUAAACCCCCAACUUCUGAACGUUUGACCUCAGAUCAGGUAGGAAUACCCGCUGAACUUAAGCAUAUCAAUAAGCGGAGGA